Molecule: ribosomal RNA, 253 nt
Filed under: uncultured bacterium
Lineage: Bacteria
Description: partial 16S ribosomal RNA
Rfam family: Bacterial small subunit ribosomal RNA
Source: RNAcentral
UACGUAGGGGGCAAGCGUUGUCCGGAAUCAUUGGGCGUAAAGCGCGUGUAGGCGGCUUGGUAAGUCCGCUCUGAAAGCCCGGGGCUCAACCCCGGGAGGCGGGUGGAUACUGUCAAGCUCGAGUCCGGAAGAGGCGAGUGGAAUUCCUGGUGUAGCGGUGGAAUGCGCAGAUAUCAGGAGGAACACCAAUGGCGAAGGCAGCUCGCUGGGACGGUACUGACGCUGAGACGCGAAAGCGUGGGGAGCGAACAGG